RNAcentral lists this ribosomal RNA (397 nucleotides) under uncultured bacterium. RNAcentral's name for it is "partial 16S ribosomal RNA". It matches the Rfam family "Bacterial small subunit ribosomal RNA", at positions 523 to 918 of the family's 1533-position model. The record is from RNAcentral.
AUACGUAGGGGGCGAGCGUUGUCCGGAAUGAUUGGGCGUAAAGGGCGCGUAGGCGGCGCGGUAAGUCUGGAGUGAAAGUCCUGCUUUCAAGGUGGGAAUUGCUUUGGAUACUGCCGCGCUUGAGUGCAGGAGAGGUUAUCGGAAUUCCCGGUGUAGCGGUGAAAUGCGUAGAGAUCGGGAGGAACACCAGUGGCGAAGGCGGGUAACUGGACUGCAACUGACGCUGAGGCGCGAAAGUGUGGGGAGCAAACAGGAUUAGAUACCCUGGUAGUCCACACUGUAAACGAUGAAUGCUAGGUGUAGGAGGUAUCGACCCCUUCUGUGCCGCAGUAAACACAGUAAGCAUUCCGCCUGGGGAGUACGGUCGCAAGAUUAAAACUCAAAGGAAUUGGCGGGG